GUCUAUGGCCAUGUCACCCUGAACAAGCCCGAUGUCUGAUCUUGGAAGCUAAGCAGGGUCAGGCCUGGUUAGUACUUGGAUGGGAGAUCAUCUAGGAAGACCAGGUGCUAUAGGCA
This 116-nucleotide ribosomal RNA is filed under the name Pteropus alecto (black flying fox). The record is from RNAcentral. RNAcentral also lists the same sequence under 1 other name. Lineage: Eukaryota; Metazoa; Chordata; Mammalia; Chiroptera; Pteropodidae.